RNAcentral lists this small nucleolar RNA (138 nucleotides) under Ornithorhynchus anatinus (platypus). The record is from RNAcentral. Lineage: Eukaryota; Metazoa; Chordata; Mammalia; Monotremata; Ornithorhynchidae.
CCCCUCUCAGGGUCACACCUGGAGAGUUUCCGGUACUCUACCAGUCUCGACUAUGGAAGGGAGAGUUAAGCAGAGGCCUACCCAUUCCAUUCCCAGCUUGGCCAGUGGCUAGCGAGUGGAAGGCAAUCUGCUAAAAGU